GGAUCAAUGAAGACUUCAAAAAUGGAUCUCAUUGGAAUCUGAACAAAAUGAGUGAAGAAAAAUCACUUGUGUGACUGAGGUCC
Small nucleolar RNA from Phacochoerus africanus (Common warthog), 83 nucleotides. RefSeq annotates it as small nucleolar RNA SNORD116. NCBI's taxonomy places the organism in Eukaryota, Metazoa, Chordata, Mammalia, Artiodactyla, Suidae. The record is from RefSeq and is a predicted model, not a curated record. The transcript has a single exon.